Molecule: ribosomal RNA, 249 nt
Filed under: uncultured delta proteobacterium
Lineage: Bacteria; Deltaproteobacteria
Description: partial 16S ribosomal RNA
Rfam family: Bacterial small subunit ribosomal RNA
Source: RNAcentral
UAGGGAAUUUUGCACAAUGGGCGCAAGCCUGAUGCAGCAACGCCGCGUGAGUGAAGAAGGCUCUUGGGUCGUAAAGCUCUUUCGGCUGGAAAGAAGGGACCAUCUGCGAAUAGUUGGUGGUUCUGACGGUACCAGAAGAAGAAGCACCUGCUAACUUCGUGCCAGCAGCAGCGGUAAUACGAAGGGUGCAAGCGUUGUUCGGAAUUAUUGGGCGUAAAGCGCGCGUAGGCGGGUUGGUAAGUCGAUUGU